UGAAAUUGGAGCACAUCCCAAAAAUGGCCGAAAAGGCUGCCGUCGCUUGCCCUUAAUGUCCUUCAAUGAUUUGUUGCCCAACCUUAACCUUUGCCAUUGACAAAAAUACCCUUCCAGAAAAAUAGCUCUUGAAUCAACAUUUUACAACCUACCUUUCUCAAAAGUGAACUCCACAAUUUUAUCGCCAUUUGCUACCUAAAUUAAUACACAUUUUUCCAUAAUAUUUCUUAGAACUGGAAUAAACUUCGAAAAAUUCGGAAGCACAACAUUUUUUACCCGGGGGUCUUCUUAUUCUUCCUUUGGCUUCCUGAUUUUGCCGCUUCUUCUUCAUAAACUUGGUCACUACUUUAAUUAAAUUUUUAAUGUUCCUCUGGUCGGACAGGCUUCAAAACUAUUUCACUCAACUUGAUUUGUUCAAAUCUUCCGGAACACACUUUCUGACCCGCCGAUAUCUAAAAAAAUCGAUUAUAAUCUGCUGAUUUUCACAGAACCCGAGCAACCGACUGAAGGAAGUUUUCUUUUUACCGCCUCUGUCCGUACACACAAACCUUUCUUAGUAUGUGUAAAUCCAUCAUUUCUAAAUGAACAUUUGAAAAAAACGUACUGCAACACAGCCUCUUCCACUGACAUUAAUCGAAACAAGCCCUAUCCAAACAUUUAUCAAAGAUGAUGUAAAAAGUGUUGCCAGUCAAAUGUACGAGACGAAAUCAAAUAAAUUCAAUCUUAGUUAAAAUAUACUUUUUAUUUGCGUAUUCAAUGAAAAAGAAACUUAUCAACUAACCCUGCAUGGAAACACAAUUUUCAUUAGCAAAUAGGAGCAACUAAAACCAAACUAAAACGAAAAAAAAUACCCGACAGUUGUAUUUUAGCCACACUCAAACUAGCAUCACUGGUCAUGCCACCGCACCGCAGUUCUGUCAUGCGGAUGGGGUUAGAAAACAAAAUCAAAACAUUCGUGUCAGUGUCAGCAAAACAAACCAGCUGCAGGAGAAUUGAAACCUGUGACCGUGUCCGCUGUAAUAUCUUCAAGCUGAGCAAGUCCCCGAAAAGUGUUCCGUCGUCAAGCGGCCCAACGGAAGUGGCGGAGCCUUUUUUGAGUAUAGUCUGUGCUAAGAUGCCCGACAAAGAACCCGGAGGACUCCAAAGAAGAUCAACCGACCAGAACUCUAGUGGAUAAUAAGUAAUUCUUCAAGCGAUAAGUGGCGUUUUCGAGCUGACCCUACCACCGUCGGACGAUGACAAGCUGGUCGCCCGACACUACGAAACAGUCGAAAGACUCACCGGUUGGGAUGUACUUCCGGCGGAGAGGGAUUCAGAAUUGCCGGGACGAUCGCAGGGAUUUUACAAUCAUGUUUAGAAAUUCCAUUGCACAUCGAGUGCUGCCUGGUGCUCGUGGAGACAGCUUUGUGAGCAAGGUCGAGUUGGUCCACGUGGGUCCGGAGGUGCAGGCUAACAGGCCGUUAAGGGACAUUUUCGGCCGCAAAAGGUGAAAUCUUUUGGACCAAAUCAUGAAGCUGAAAAGGGUUGGCAAGAAUUGACCGGAAUCUUUGCUGGUCAUGUCACUGCUCUAUCUGGGACAUCAUCUGAAGGACAUUACGCUGCAGCUUGUUCCGCAGAUCAAGGUUUCGUCGGUUCAAGUCACUUUGGGCAACUUUUCGGUGUAAACCCGGAAGAGUGGCUGCUGAAUCAGAGCAAUCGCAACGAGCAAACCCCGGCUGGGAUUCUUGACGAGUUCAAUUGGCUUUGCUUUUUGGACAUUUUCGGGCAAAAUCUCAAAUUUGUUGUACAUUUAGUCAGCAAGGCGACGGUCUUGUAGAUGGAGAAAAUCCGGGUUAACAAACAUUACACCGGCCAAUCCUUCGUGCAGACAUGCACGUCUGUAUACUCCCGGCCUUCCGACGAGAACAAGUCGAGGGAAAUACGCUUUAUAAAAUUGCAACUGUCAAAUAAAAAUCAAUAUUUAACAAUGCGCCUCCAAUACUGGUCCCAGCAGAUUUUUCAAGAGCAAUUGCUGACUGGAUGAUAUCGCUUAUUUUUUAAGUUAGAAGUUAGUCCCCCGUAAAUUUUGACCCUUUUCCUUGGCGCGAUAGGCUGGCCCCCCCUGUGCCCCCUCCCCCCCCCACCAACCAGAACUAAGCGCCGCCUAGUGGCCAGGUAGGUAUUAAAAAAUGUUCUGCUUUAUGGAUAGUUUUUGCACUGCAAUGUGAAUUAUCUUUUUUCUAAAUGUUUACAUUUUCCAUCAAACAAAACAAAGAGAUUUGUGUUUGAUAAACAUUUCAUAAACACAUAAACACUAACAUGGUGUGUGUUGGUAUUUGUGAUAGUCUUACCAACACAUGUAUACUGAUAAUGAUUAAUGAUUUCAAUGAUUACUAUAAAGAAGAAGAAAAAUAAGAAGAAGCCGAAAUCGGAUUUGAAGGCAUUUCA
Long non-coding RNA from Culex pipiens pallens (northern house mosquito), 2427 nucleotides. RefSeq lists it as uncharacterized. The record is from RefSeq and is a predicted model, not a curated record. NCBI's taxonomy places the organism in Eukaryota, Metazoa, Arthropoda, Insecta, Diptera, Culicidae. The transcript has 3 exons.